AUGGAAGUGAGGAUUAUUUCCCCAAAUGAUCGACACUGAUUAAACUAAGCGAUCUGUUUCUCUUUUCGAGAAUCCAAGCCAGAAAUCUGAUCCGU
This is a small nucleolar RNA of 95 nucleotides. It matches the Rfam family "Small nucleolar RNA Z103". From Rfam's summary of the family: This family consists of several snoRNA Z103 sequences which are members of the C/D class of snoRNA which contain the C (UGAUGA) and D (CUGA) box motifs. This family seems to be found exclusively in plants. C/D box small nucleolar RNAs are known to act as a methylation guides for 18S ribosomal RNA. The record is from Rfam.